CCUAACACAUGCAAGUCGAGCGGUAACAGAAAGUAGCUUGCUACUUUGCUGACGAGCGGCGGACGGGUGAGUAAUGCUUGGGAACAUGCCUUGAGGUGGGGGACAACAGUUGGAAACGACUGCUAAUACCGCAUAAUGUCUACGGACCAAAGGGGGCUUCGGCUCUCGCCUUUAGAUUGGCCCAAGUGGGAUUAGCUAGUUGGUGAGGUAAUGGCUCACCAAGGCAACGAUCCCUAGCUGGUUUGAGAGGAUGAUCAGCCACACUGGGACUGAGACACGGCCCAGACUCCUACGGGAGGCAGCAGUGGGGAAUAUUGCACAAUGGGCGCAAGCCUGAUGCAGCCAUGCCGCGUGUGUGAAGAAGGCCUUCGGGUUGUAAAGCACUUUCAGUCAGGAGGAAAGGUUAGUAGUUAAUACCUGCUAGCUGUGACGUUACUGACAGAAGAAGCACCGGCUAACUCCGUGCCAGCAGCCGCGGUAAUACGGAGGGUGCGAGCGUUAAUCGGAAUUACUGGGCGUAAAGCGUACGCAGGCGGUUUGUUAAGCGAGAUGUGAAAGCCCCGGGCUCAACCUGGGAACUGCAUUUCGAACUGGCAAACUAGAGUGUGAUAGAGGGUGGUAGAAUUUCAGGUGUAGCGGUGAAAUGCGUAGAGAUCUGAAGGAAUACCGAUGGCGAAGGCAGCCACCUGGGUCAACACUGACGCUCAUGUACGAAAGCGUGGGGAGCAAA
RNAcentral lists this ribosomal RNA (730 nucleotides) under Pseudoalteromonas sp. F925. RNAcentral describes it as "bacterial SSU rRNA". It matches the Rfam family "Bacterial small subunit ribosomal RNA", at positions 47 to 772 of the family's 1533-position model. Lineage: Bacteria; Pseudomonadati; Pseudomonadota; Gammaproteobacteria; Alteromonadales; Pseudoalteromonadaceae. The record is from RNAcentral.